Molecule: long non-coding RNA, 1956 nt
Organism: Neopsephotus bourkii (Bourke's parrot)
Lineage: Eukaryota; Metazoa; Chordata; Aves; Psittaciformes; Psittacidae
Exons: 4
Source: RefSeq, a predicted model, not a curated record
GAUACAUUAUGCAGUCUUGUAAGGUGGAGGGGGGAAGAGAAGAACUGACAUAGCAAAUGUGAGAAAUCAAAACUUGGAUGUUUAUUUAGGGAGACUGUAAAGGGACCAUCGCCUGGGUCUGGGGAGAGGAGAGGAUUUUGUGGGAAACAAAGGCACUGUCAGCUUUUGUGUCUGUUCUGGAUGUUCCUAGCAUUAGGCAGAGCUUACAGCUUUGCCUUUUAGUAAUUUUAUGGACCUGAUAUUUUAAGGCACCAAAGGGAACGAUGAUGUUCAUUCGACAUGUGAGAUUAUAAAAUGGUGAAGUGUUUGCAUGGCCUGGGUUGGUAAUGUCUCCUUUAGAGAUUUUACUGGUUUAUUACCACUUGCUGGUGGAACAUACCGGAAACACAGAAACAGCAGAAUUAUUCUCAUUUAUUUUGUUGCAGUUAGGUUUUUAUGAAGACAGGUGUACAGAUGGAAAUAUAGAUAUGCCUGAGCAACUGCAAAUACAAGACAAAAAUACAGGAUUUUCAUGCCAAAGCUGAAUUCCUGCCAGUCCUUGAGUCCUUUCCUGGGACAGUUGUUUGCUGAAGAAGUGAUUUGCUUUAAUGGAGUAUAAAGAGCAUGUACUGGUAUGAAGAAGACUUGUGGGCAGAGAGGAAUAGAUAGAUCAUACAGACAACAUGACAGUUCAUCUUUAUGCAAGGUGGAUUUUUGCACCUGUGAAGGAUGCUGUGCCAGGCUUCAGAUUGUUCCUCUUCUAACCUUCUCCGAUGUUCAUCUCUUCCAUCACGGGCUCCUUUCUCAGCACACAGCUUUGAAAAGUAAAUUCUCCACGAUGUCAGAUCACCCGAUGGUGAAGCGGGUUUGAAGCCCUGGCUCUCAAAGCAACUUCCAGUGGACCAUGACAGGAAUCAAGGGCUAUUUAUUAUUGGUGAGGUUAGAGAACAUCCCCUUUUCACUCUUUAAGAGUGCAGAGGUUUGAAAAUGCAGUUCCGCAGGGGGGUUCUUGGCACUGGUUCUUUGCUUAGGUGAGUGGUUCGUUACUCCUGUUUCACUUGUUUCUGCUCCUUAAUUUUCUGUAGAUUUAUUUCUCCAGGCUCCUCCCUUUGUUUGCAACGGCAUCUUUUACUCUGGAAAUAAAACACCUAUGAACUCAAAGGAAAAAGAAAGACCUAGAAGCAAAGCCAGGGAAGACACACGGUACCCGUCCCCUAGUUUUGAAGUUUCCUGGUUUAUAAACCCAUGUCUUAGUGAAAAACAGAUGAUAGUAGUGCUUAAUGUCACAUUGGUGGAGCAAUGGUAAACCCACAUAAUAUAUAAUGCAGAGCAUUAUAGCUGUCACUCACGGUGUGAUGAAAUAAAUACAAACUACAGUAUGAAGGAGUGAGAUGCUCAACAACAUAAACUCCAAGGGUUUUGCUUGUGAUGGAAAUGUGCAUUUUCAGUGAACAUUAGUUUUCAUAUACAUUUAAUUGUAUAUUGUCUAUGCACUAAAGGAGAUAACAUGGUUUUAUAGGGGGAGUCCUGGGUGUGUGAGAAAGGGGUGAGACCUUGGGGUGUUUCCCAUCCAUCCCCUGCAGGACCCCGGUGGCGGGAGCAUCGAUGGCUGUGAUAAUUAAUGAUAUUCCUCUGCCCUCUGUAGGAGAGCUGCCCGCAUUGAAUGCUGCUGUGGGAGCACCCUGACCUGUGCAGCCCCCACCGCUCUGCAUCCCAAUUAGAAACCAGGUCUGGAUUCAUUUUUAGAGCCUUUAAAAGCAGGUAAGAGUCCUGAGUGAACACAAAGGGGAUGAGCAGCAGCCUAUGCAGCUCCUCUCCCAGCCAGGGCUCGAACCAGCUCAAGUUUGCAGGUUGCUGCUGGCACCUUCAUGGGGAAAAUCUCAAUGGCAGUUGUGGAAAACCCAAGUCCUGGAGGCCAGGCUGACCCCCUGAAGCUGUUCAUUGUAGGGUCUGAAGUUCAGACCUGUGUCUGCAACU